RNAcentral lists this transfer RNA (88 nucleotides) under Caudoviricetes sp. Its description in RNAcentral is "tRNA-Ser". It matches the Rfam family "tRNA". From Rfam's summary of the family: Transfer RNA (tRNA) molecules are approximately 80 nucleotides in length. Their secondary structure includes four short double-helical elements and three loops (D, anti-codon, and T loops). The record is from RNAcentral. Lineage: Duplodnaviria; Heunggongvirae; Uroviricota; Caudoviricetes.
UGCAGAAUGAAGCCGAGAGGUUCGGCGGCGGUUUGCUAAACCGUUUCGGCCCGAAAGGGCUGGGGUUCGUGUCCUCCGUUCUGCGCCA